Pelobates cultripes (western spadefoot toad) is the source of this 310-nucleotide non-coding RNA. The record is from the annotation of a GenBank genome assembly. NCBI's taxonomy places the organism in Eukaryota, Metazoa, Chordata, Amphibia, Anura, Pelobatidae.
GGAGAUUGGCAGGGAUGUGUCAGCUGACUGGAGUUCGCCACGAACCGUUCGCGGAAAGUUCACGGACGGUUCGCGACAUCUCUAUUUCUGACAGGCUUUGUGGUUUAUGAUCUACUAGUCACUUCUAGUGUGCCAUAUAGGAAGUAUAAUUCCUUAAACUGAAUUUAUAAUCCUGAAAAUAAUUAUUUAGAGACCAUAGACUCCCUUCUUGAAUGUGCAUGCUGUCUUACCCUCCUUUGCACUGUAAAAUACCUUGUUUCUAGCUCCAGUGAUGAUGGCAAGCGUGCUGAUGUCGCACUCCAUCUCAUCC